This 76-nucleotide transfer RNA is filed under the name Burkholderia sp. RNAcentral's name for it is "tRNA-Phe". It matches the Rfam family "tRNA". From Rfam's summary of the family: Transfer RNA (tRNA) molecules are approximately 80 nucleotides in length. Their secondary structure includes four short double-helical elements and three loops (D, anti-codon, and T loops). Further hydrogen bonds mediate the characteristic L-shaped molecular structure. tRNAs have two regions of fundamental functional importance: the anti-codon, which is responsible for specific mRNA codon recognition, and the 3' end, to which the tRNAs corresponding amino acid is attached (by aminoacyl-tRNA synthetases). tRNAs cope with the degeneracy of the genetic code in two manners: having more than one tRNA (with a specific anti-codon) for a particular amino acid; and 'wobble' base-pairing, i.e. permitting non-standard base-pairing at the 3rd anti-codon position. Lineage: Bacteria; Pseudomonadati; Pseudomonadota; Betaproteobacteria; Burkholderiales; Burkholderiaceae. The record is from RNAcentral.
GGCCCGGUAGCUCAGUUGGUAGAGCAGCGGACUGAAGAUCCGCGUGUCGAUGGUUCGAUUCCAUCCCAGGCCACCA